GUCUACGGCCAUGCCACUCUGAACAAGAUCAAUCCCAUUUGAUCUUAGAAGCUAAGCAGGGUCGGGCCUGGUUAGUUCUUGGAUGGGAGACCACCUAGGAAGACCAGGUGCUGUAGGCG
RNAcentral lists this ribosomal RNA (119 nucleotides) under Pteropus alecto (black flying fox). Lineage: Eukaryota; Metazoa; Chordata; Mammalia; Chiroptera; Pteropodidae. The record is from RNAcentral.